GUCGUCUACGCGCUCAAGCGACAGGGCCGCACCCUCUACGGUUUCGGAGGCUAGAUUCAUGUAGUCCGCCAGCAGUGGGGCAACUUCCUCGUUUGCUCUCUGUGAUGUGUGCUGUGGUAGAUGAGAUUUACUGGUUUGCGUGUGUUGUUGUGUUCUGUCUUGGGGUUCAGUAGGCUCUGUAAUAGCUACGCCGUCACCUACACCGAGCACGCCCGCCGCAAGACCGUCACCGCCAUGGAUGUCGUCUACGCGCUCAGGCUUCCGAGGCUAGAUUCUGUUAGCGUCCCAGGCCCAGCUCCCAACCUCCGGCAUAUGUUCAGACGUUUCCGAUGCGCAUCGGACACACCACACAAGCAAAGAGCCCACCACAUCCCAAAAGACUAGCCUGAAGGGAGUGUGGCACUCCUCCUUAUAAGGUGGUCCUAGCCCCCUCCCAUAUCCGAGGUGGGACUAAAGUCACUGGCAAUGCCCAAUGGCCAGCGUCUCUGACACCCCAUCCCCCUAAACAGGGCGGACUGGGGCCCAGCUCUGAUACCAAUUGUUAGCGUCCCAGGCCCAGCUCCCAACCUCUGGCAUAUGUUCAGACGUUUCCGAUGCGCAUCGGACACACCACACAAGCAAAGAGCCCACCACAUCCCAAAAGACUAGUCUGAAGGGAGUGUGGCACUCCUCCUUAUAAGGUGGUCCUAGCCCCCUCCCAUAUCCGAGGUGGGACUAAAGUCACUGGCAACGCCCAAUGGCCAGCGUCUCUGACAAAUUCGCAGUGGUGCCAGUAGUGGGGCAACUUCCUCGUUUGCUCUGUGAUAUGUGUGCCGUGCUAGAUGUGAUUUACUGCUUUGGCGUGCGUCUAGGCUGUGUAAUACCAUGUUCUGUUCAAUGCAAUCAGUUCGAUUCUGAAUCCUG
RNAcentral lists this long non-coding RNA (903 nucleotides) under Triticum aestivum (bread wheat). RNAcentral describes it as "long non-coding RNA (TAES_LNC022951)". Lineage: Eukaryota; Viridiplantae; Streptophyta; Magnoliopsida; Poales; Poaceae. The record is from RNAcentral.